This 859-nucleotide ribosomal RNA is filed under the name uncultured bacterium. RNAcentral describes it as "bacterial SSU rRNA". It matches the Rfam family "Bacterial small subunit ribosomal RNA", at positions 9 to 915 of the family's 1533-position model. The record is from RNAcentral.
GAGUUUGAUCCUGGCUCAGAACGAACGCUGGCGGCAGGCCUAACACAUGCAAGUCGAGCGAGACCUUCGGGUCUAGCGGCGGACGGGUUAGUAACGCGUGGGAACGUACCCUUUUCUGCAGGAUAGCCACUGGAAACGGUGAGUAAUACUGCAUACGCCCUUCGGGGGAAAGAUUUAUCGGAGAAGGAUCGGCCCGCGUUAGAUUAGAUAGUUGGUGGGGUAACGGCCUACCAAGUCUACGAUCUAUAGCUGGUUUGAGAGGAUGAUCAGCAACACUGGGACUGAGACACGGCCCAGACUCCUACGGGAGGCAGCAGUGGGGAAUCUUAGACAAUGGGCGCAAGCCUGAUCUAGCCAUGCCGCGUGAGUGAUGAAGGCCUUAGGGUCGUAAAGCUCUUUCGCCUGUGAAGAUAAUGACUGUAGCAGGUAAAGAAACCCCGGCUAACUCCGUGCCAGCAGCCGCGGUAAUACGGAGGGGGUUAGCGUUGUUCGGAAUUACUGGGCGUAAAGCGCGCGUAGGCGGACAUUUAAGUCAGAGGUGAAAUCCCAGGGCUCAACCCUGGAACUGCCUUUGAUACUGGGUGUCUUGAGUUCGAGAGAGGUGAGUGGAAUUCCGAGUGUGGAGGUGAAAUUCGUAGAUAUUCGGAGGAACACCAGUGGCGAAGGCGGCUCACUGGCUCGAUACUGACGCUGAGGUGCGAAAGUGUGGGGAGCAAACAGGAUUAGAUACCCUGGUAGUCCACACCGUAAACGAUGAAUGCCAGUCGUCGGGUAGUAUACUAUUCGGUGACACACCUAACGGAUUAAGCAUUCCGCCUGGGGAGUACGGUCGCAAGAUUAAAACUCAAAGGAAUUGACG